AUAAUUACCUGGACGGGGUCGACGGCCGAUCAAGAAGGGUCUUGGCCUAGAUCAAUGGCUCACAUUGCGAUUGGUGAGCGCAUUGGUCUACCAUCUCUCUAAGUGGGAGGGUAAACGUCAUAAUUUGUUGUAGAGGGGGUACGCGUUCGCGCGGCCCCUG
This 160-nucleotide small nuclear RNA is filed under the name Leersia perrieri. RNAcentral's name for it is "U1 spliceosomal RNA". It matches the Rfam family "U1 spliceosomal RNA". From Rfam's summary of the family: U1 is a small nuclear RNA (snRNA) component of the spliceosome (involved in pre-mRNA splicing). Its 5' end forms complementary base pairs with the 5' splice junction, thus defining the 5' donor site of an intron. The record is from Rfam by way of RNAcentral. Lineage: Eukaryota; Viridiplantae; Streptophyta; Magnoliopsida; Poales; Poaceae.